Molecule: ribosomal RNA, 2511 nt
Filed under: Triticum aestivum (bread wheat)
Lineage: Eukaryota; Viridiplantae; Streptophyta; Magnoliopsida; Poales; Poaceae
Description: partial small subunit ribosomal RNA
Source: RNAcentral
AUGACUUCACGUAGUGAGGUGUUGUCUAUUUAUAAGCGUUUUGCUGCCAUGGUUCAUACUCAGUUCUCUUCACCCAUUCGUGUUUUUCGUGCUGACUCCGCUGGUGAGUAUAUCUCUAAGAUGUUGCGUGGUGUCCUUGCUGAGCAGGGUACUCUUGCCCAGUUCUCUUGUCCUGGUGCUCAUGCUCAGAAUGGUGUGUCUGAGCGGAAGCAUCGUCACCUUCUUGAGACGGCUCGUGCUAUGAUGAUCGCCGCCUCUCUUCCGCCUCAUUUUUGGGCCGAGGCUAUCUCCACUUCUGUCUAUCUCAUCAACCUUCAGCCAUCUGCUGCUUUGCAGGGUGGUGUUCCUUUUGAGCGUCUGUUUGAUCGCUCUCCCGAUUAUUCGAUGCUUCGCUUGUUUGGUUGUGUUUGCUAUGUUCUUCUUGCCCCUCGCGAACGCACCAAACUGACCGCUCAGUCUGUUGAGUGUGUCUUCUUAGGCUACAGUGAUGAGCAUAAGGGCUAUCGUUGUUGGGAUCCUGUCGGUCGUCGGAUGCGUAUCUCUCGAGAUGUGACUUUUGAUGAGUCUCGUCCUUUUUACCCACGACCAUCUUCCUCGGUCUUUUCAGUGGAGGAUAUCUCUUUUCUCACUUUUCCUGACUCCCCUAUCACUCCCGUCGCGCCUGUGCCUAUUCGUCCCACUCCCUCUGCUUCUCCACCCCUCGUCGAUUCACCGCCACCAUCUUCCCCGGUCUCCUCACCUAGCAUGUCACCGGAUUCUACACCUACAUCUCCGGUGACUUCUUCGUCACCACCCCCUGAUUCUACCUUGGCGAUUCCUCCUUCUCUUGUUCCAUCUCUUCCGCAGCAUUACACUCGUCGUUCACGACCUGUGGAUGCUUCCUUGGAUGAGUCGUCCUCUUCCUCUCAGCCUACUUAUGGCUUGCGUUCUCGUCCUCGUCCGCCUAUUGAUCGCUUUGGAUUUCCCACCGCUGGUGCUGCUGUUCUUGAGCCGACUUCUUACCGUCAGGCUGUUGUUCAUCCUGAAUGGCAGUUUGCGAUGGCGGAGGAGAUUGCUGCUCUUGAACGCACUGGUACCUGGGAUCUUGUUUCUCUUCCUCCCGGAGUCCGUCCCAUCACUUGUAAGUGGGUCUACAAGGUUAAGACUCGCUCCGAUGGUUCUCUUGAGCGUCACAAAGCUCGUCUUGUGGCUCGUGGUUUUCAGCAGGAGCAUGGUCGUGAUUAUGACGAGACUUUUGCUCCUGUGGCCCAUAUGACCACUAUUCGUACACUUCUUGCCGUUGCCUCUGCACGCCACUGGUCUAUAUCUCAGCUUGAUGUUAAGAAUGCCUUUCUUAAUGGUGAGCUGCGUGAGGAGGUGUACAUGCAGCCACCACCUGGGUAUUCUGUUCCUGAUGGCAUGGUGUGUCGUCUUCGUCGCUCUCUCUAUGGCCUUAAGCAAGCCCCUCGCGCCUGGUUUGAGCGUUUUGCUUCUGUGGUCACUACUGCUGGUUUUUCAACAAGUGCUCAUGAUCCCGCAUUGUUUAUUCACCUUUCUCCUCGUGGUCGGACUCUUCUUCUUCUCUAUGUUGAUGAUAUGGUCAUCACUGGGGAUGACCCCGAGUAUAUUGCCUUUGUAAAGGCCCGUCUUAGUGAGCAGUUUCUUAUGUCUGAUCUUGGACCUCUUCGCUAUUUUCUUGGGAUUGAAGUCUCUUCUACCUCUGAUGGCUUUUUUAUAUCCCAGGAAAAGUAUAUCCAGGAUCUUCUUGCUCGUGCUGCUCUUUCUGACGAGCGCACUGUUGAGACUCCUAUGGAGCUCAAUGUUCACCUCCGUGCUACUGAUGGUGAUCCUCUCCCUGACCCGACGCGUUAUCGUCAUCUCGUUGGCAGUCUUGUCUAUCUAGCUGUCACUCGUCCGGACAUCUCUUAUCCGGUUCAUAUUCUGAGUCAGUUUGUUUCUGCUCCCACAUCGGUUCAUUAUAGUCAUCUCCUUCGUGUUCUCCGAUAUCUUCGGGGCACGAUCUCUCACCGUCUCUUCUUACCUAGCUCCAGUUCUUUACAGCUUCAGGCCUAUGCGGAUGCUACGUGGGCUAGUGAUCCUUCUGAUCGCCGUUCGCUUUCUGCUUACUGUGUUUUUCUUGGCGGUUCUCUCAUUGCCUGGAAGACGAAGAAACAGAUUGCAGUUUCCCGUUCGAGUGCUGAGGCUGAGUUGCGAGCUAUGGCUCUUUUGACGGCAGAGGUGACUUGGUUACGAUGGUUACUUCAGGACUUUGGUGUUUCUGUCACUACACCGACUAUGCUCUUAUCUGACAGUACAGGUGCUAUUAGCAUUGCGCGCGAUCCUGUGAAGCAUGAGCUCACCAAGCAUAUUGGUGUUGAUGCUUUCUAUGUGCGCGCUGCCGUGCAGGAUCAGGUCGUUGCUCUUCAGUAUGUGCCUUCCGAGUUACAGUUGGCGGAUUUCCUGACGAAGGCCCAGACUAGAGCACAACAUGGCUUUUAUCUCUCCAAACUCAGUGUUGUUCCUCCACCAUGA